AUAAAUUUAACAUUGAUGUUCUGGAAUGUUCUAUGAAAAUUCACCCCCGAAAAUUAUGCCAAGGAGACCCCCUACUGAAAUAAAAUAAAUGCCAUAUUGGAGCAGACAAGUGUCUCUAAAUAUUCAUAAUAGUAAUCAUAAUUCCAUCUACUCUACAUACAGAAAAAUAUUUAGGAAAUGUAAAAAAAAUGACCCCAACCAUUUUUGAGCCCCCUAAUUAUGCCAAGAUGACACCCUGGUAUCAUGGACAUUGGGUUCUGCAACCCCCAUGAUGCAGACCCGUACCCAGAAAAAAUAUGAAGUUUCCAUCCAUUACUGCUUCCCAAAAAUGGUAGGACAGUUUAAGGGGUUAGAAAGAGAAGAAUAAGAAUAAUAACUAGAAUUGCCAUUGCAAGCAAUAGCGGAUGUCACCCUUCCCCCUAUUGCCACUAAGCGGCAGCCAUUUCAAAACAACUUAACAGUGAAUGCAGAUCUAUGAAUUGCGAUAUAUCUUUCUGUAAAUUUUCAGUAAUACAAGAGCAUUGUCAAAAGUUUCACAUUUCUGCUGUUUCCAUGGCAACGGCAGCCAUUUUGAAAAUUUCAAAGUCAAAAGUCUCAUCUAUACAUGCCAGUUGACAAUAAUAUUAAGUUUCAUUAAGUUU
This 641-nucleotide long non-coding RNA is filed under the name Mytilus galloprovincialis (Mediterranean mussel). The record is from RNAcentral. Lineage: Eukaryota; Metazoa; Mollusca; Bivalvia; Mytilida; Mytilidae.